UUUGUGCAGGAUGCGGGCUGCCUGGGAAAUGUGGCUCAGGAAGCUUCCAAUUCUCAGACGUAAUGGAAAGCCAUUUUACCUUUUCAGGCCUCUAAGGAUGGCAAGUACCUUGGUGUAUUCCACUUAGGACAGUGAAUGGCUUAGGGGUCUGUAACAGCAUUCUCUGACUAUAGCUCCUCAAAGCAGCAGAUUACUGGCUGACAAGUUCCUCCUGUCUGUCUCGACCCCACUUCCCGGGUUGCCUCAGGCAGAGCAGGGCUCAGGCACAAGUGUGGGGCAAUGGAUUGGGGCAGUGGCGAGGCAGUGAGCAUG
Molecule: long non-coding RNA, 312 nt
Filed under: Bos taurus (domestic cattle)
Lineage: Eukaryota; Metazoa; Chordata; Mammalia; Artiodactyla; Bovidae
Description: long non-coding RNA NONBTAT002678
Source: RNAcentral